GAUGGCUUAGUGAGGCUUCAGAUCGAGCCAGGAAUGGGGGCAACUCUGUUCUGGGUUUGAGAAUUUAGACAAACUUGGUCAUUUAGAGGAACUAAAAGUCGUAACAAGGUUUCCGUAGGUGAACCUGCGGAAGGAUCAUUACUGAUUGACAUUUAUGUCAUUUUACACACUGUGAACUUUUAUUAGAGCAAAACUUAUUAAAACAUGUAAUUAUUAAAAAUAUAUCGUCAAGAAAAUAAUAAAGUGAAAACUUUCAACAACGGAUCUCUUGGUUCUCGCAUCGAUGAAGAGCGCAGCGAAAUGCGAUAAUUAAUGUGAAUUGCAGAUUUUCGUGAAUCAUCGAGUUCUUGAACGCACAUUGCGCCCUCUGGUAUUCCGGAGGGCAUGUCUGUUUGAGCGUCAUUUCAUUCUCACUUUACAGUGGUUAUGACAUUGUCAGAAAUGACUUUGUUGAAAAAGAUUAGGAAAACACCAAAGAACUAGGUUUACACCUCUUUGGAGUAUCCUUUGCGAAAAAAAAAAAUCAGAAAGUUGACCUCAAAUCAGAUAAUCAGAAAGUUUGACCUCAAAUCAGAUAGGAAUACCCGCUGAACUUAAGCAUAUCAAUAAGCGGAGGAAAAGAAACCAACAGGGAUUGCCUCAGUAGCGGCGAGUGAAGCGGCAAAAGCUCAAAUUUGAAAUCUGGUAGUUCUGCUACCCGAGUUGUAAUUUGUAGAAGACUGUCUUUGUAAGGGUGCCUGUCUAAGUUCCUUGGAACAGGACGUCGCAGAGGGUGAGAAUCCCGUGUGAUGGGUGGCCCGAACUUUUAAGACGUUUUCGAAGAGUCGAGUUGUUUGGGAAUGCAGCUCUAAGUGGGUGGUAAAUUCCAUCUAAAGCUAAAUAUUGGCGAGAGACCGAUAGCGAACAAGUACAGUGAUGGAAAGAUGAAAAGAACUUUGAAAAGAGAGUGAAACAGUACGUGAAAUUGUUGAAAGGGAAGGGUAUUUGAUCCGACAUGGGAUUUACUCAUCAUUGCUCCUUGUGGGUGGUGCUCUGGGUUUUUUCUGGGCCAGAAUCAGUUUGUGUGGCAGGAUAAAGGCUUGGGGAAGUAACUCUUCUGGAGUAAUAUAACCCUUGUUAAUGCUGCCUAUGCGGACUGAGGAAUGCGGUAUUUUACCAAGGAUUCUGGCAUAACGAUUAAAUACCGCCCGUCUUGAAACAUGGACCAAGGAGUCUAACGUCUAUGCGAGUGUUUGGGUGUA
Molecule: ribosomal RNA, 1241 nt
Filed under: Kregervanrija pseudodelftensis
Lineage: Eukaryota; Fungi; Ascomycota; Pichiomycetes; Pichiales; Pichiaceae
Description: LSU rRNA
Rfam family: Eukaryotic large subunit ribosomal RNA (bases 561-1241)
Source: RNAcentral